AUGGCCGGGAGAGCCUCUUCCGUGGAGCGCGUGAAGGAGCGUGCCACCGGCCUCGACAAGUUCGUCCUCCGCGAGGCCCGCGGCAGCUCCGCCGAGGUAUACUUGUAUGGAGGCCAAGUAACCUCUUGGAAAAAUAACUCUGGAGAACAACAGCUAUUUCUCAGUAAGAAGGCUUCUUUCAAACCACCAAAAGCGAUUCGUGGGGGCAUACAAAUUUGUUUUCCUCAAUUAGGGAACCACGGAGUUCUUGAACAGCAUGGAUUCGCGAGGAACCGACUUUGGAGUGUUGAUGAGAGUCCUCCUCUUCCAGAUACCACUUCUGAUUGUCAUAUUGACUUGAUACUCAAGCAGUCUGAAGAAGAUAUGAAGACCUGGCCACACAGUUAUGAACUUCGUUUGCAAGUUGCUCUUAGUCCGAGGGGAGAUCUGAUCCUCACAUCUCGAAUAAAAAAUAAGAAUGCUGAUGGCAAGCCAUUCCAAUUUACUUUUGCAUACCACACAUACUUUUCAGUCUCUGAUAUCAGCGAAGUACGGGUUGAGGGUUUGGAUACCUUGGACUAUCAUGAUAAUCUACAAUCUAAGAUUCGUUGUACUGAACAAGGCGAUGCAGUUGUAUUCGAAUCUGAAGUGGACAGGAUAUAUCUAAGUGCCCCACCCAAGAUUGUGACAAUUGACCAUGAGAAAAAAAGGACAUUCGUAUUAAGGAAAAAGGAACUUCCUGAUGUUGUUGUUUGGAACCCAUGGGACAGGAAAGCAAAAGCAAUGCCAGAUUUUGGUGCCGAGGAGUACAAGUGCAUGCUGUGUGUAGGGGCUGCACGUAUUGAGAAGCCAAUUACUUUAAGGCCUGGUGAAGAGUGGCAAGGAAGGCAGGAAAUUUCCCCUGUGCCAUCCAGUUACAGCAGUGGACUGUUGGAUCCUGAAAUGAUUCAACAGAUGCAACGUAUCUAG
This 948-nucleotide ribosomal RNA is filed under the name Triticum aestivum (bread wheat). RNAcentral describes it as "partial small subunit ribosomal RNA". Lineage: Eukaryota; Viridiplantae; Streptophyta; Magnoliopsida; Poales; Poaceae. The record is from RNAcentral.